AGCCCCAGGAAAUUUUGAAUGUUCUUUCCAGUUUGGUCAGCAUGGUGAGCUCAGCAGCACAGGUGACCAUGAAGUCCCCCUGGAACUGCAAACAGGUUCCAGCAUGAACUGAACAGGACUGUGCAGGCUGAACUCUGAUCAAAAAGAAGAAAUGGUAAUAUAAAUAUCAAAAUCGCACAGGGCAUGGUGGAGUGAGGCUACACUAGGGACACCCAACAGUAGGUCAGAGCUCCAUACAUGCUGCUUCUGUGAUCAGCUGCAUGCCAUUCUGGGGGGAACCCUACCACUGUCCAUGGACACCUGCAAGGGGGGGGAGUCUCACGCAAUACGGAGGAUGAUUUUAUGGAUGAGGAAGAGGAGGAGAAUCCAUUCUCCCCAGGAGCCAGGAUUUUUUCAUCACCCUGGAGCUGAUACCCUUCCAAGGCAAUUUCCCGGACACUGAAGCUGGAGAAGACACCUCUGCAGGUGCAAAUGUUUCCCCUAUCUUCUCUUUGGGCACAGCUGAAUGGAUGGAGGCAGACAGAGGCCAGGAAGGCAUUAAGCGAGCGUGAUCAGAAUCCAGCCACUCCACUCCAGCGGAUGGCCCAAGCAACAGAAGGCUAUCAUUUAACCAUCUUUGAUUUGUAGUGUGGCUACAAUAAGCAAUGUAGCCUUGUUCUUUCCACCCAGGCUACUUUGUGUCUGAUCUGCCUUUUAAAAAAAAUAAAUAAAUAAAGAAUGCAUGGA
Molecule: long non-coding RNA, 726 nt
Organism: Gopherus evgoodei (Goodes thornscrub tortoise)
Lineage: Eukaryota; Metazoa; Chordata; Testudines; Testudinidae
Exons: 2
Source: RefSeq, a predicted model, not a curated record